GGGUUGUGAGGUUAAGCGACUAAGCGUACACGGUGGAUGCCCUGGCAGUCAGAGGCGAUGAAGGACGUGCUAAUCUGCGAUAAGCGUCGGUAAGGUGAUAUGAACCGUUAUAACCGGCGAUUUCCGAAUGGGGAAACCCAGUGUGAUUCGUCACACUAUCAUUAACUGAAUCCAUAGGUUAAUGAGGCGAACCGGGGGAACUGAAACAUCUAAGUACCCCGAGGAAAAGAAAUCAACCGAGAUUCCCCCAGUAGCGGCGAGCGAACGGGGAGCAGCCCAGAGCCUGAAUCAGUGUGUGUGUUAGUGGAAGCGUCUGGAAAGGCGCGCGAUACAGGGUGACAGCCCCGUACACAAAAAUGCACAUAUUGUGAGCUCGAUGAGUAGGGCGGGACACGUGGUAUCCUGUCUGAAUAUGGGGGGACCAUCCUCCAAGGCUAAAUACUCCUGACUGACCGAUAGUGAACCAGUACCGUGAGGGAAAGGCGAAAAGAACCCCGGCGAGGGGAGUGAAAAAGAACCUGAAACCGUGUACGUACAAGCAGUGGGAGCACGCUUCGGCGUGUGACUGCGUACCUUUUGUAUAAUGGGUCAGCGACUUAUAUUCUGUAGCAAGGUUAACCGAAUAGGGGAGCCGAAGGGAAACCGAGUCUUAACUGGGCGUUAAGUUGCAGGGUAUAGACCCGAAACCCGGUGAUCUAGCCAUGGGCAGGUUGAAGGUUGGGUAACACUAACUGGAGGACCGAACCGACUAAUGUUGAAAAAUUAGCGGAUGACUUGUGGCUGGGGGUGAAAGGCCAAUCAAACCGGGAGAUAGCUGGUUCUCCCCGAAAGCUAUUUAGGUAGCGCCUCGUGAAUUCAUCUCCGGGGGUAGAGCACUGUUUCGGCAAGGGGGUCAUCCCGACUUACCAACCCGAUGCAAACUGCGAAUACCGGAGAAUGUUAUCACGGGAGACACACGGCGGGUGCUAACGUCCGUCGUGAAGAGGGAAACAACCCAGACCGCCAGCUAAGGUCCCAAAGUCAUGGUUAAGUGGGAAACGAUGUGGGAAGGCCCAGACAGCCAGGAUGUUGGCUUAGAAGCAGCCAUCAUUUAAAGAAAGCGUAAUAGCUCACUGGUCGAGUCGGCCUGCGCGGAAGAUGUAACGGGGCUAAACCAUGCACCGAAGCUGCGGCAGCGACGCUUAUGCGUUGUUGGGUAGGGGAGCGUUCUGUAAGCCUGUGAAGGUGUGCUGUGAGGCAUGCUGGAGGUAUCAGAAGUGCGAAUGCUGACAUAAGUAACGAUAAAGCGGGUGAAAAGCCCGCUCGCCGGAAGACCAAGGGUUCCUGUCCAACGUUAAUCGGGGCAGGGUGAGUCGACCCCUAAGGCGAGGCCGAAAGGCGUAGUCGAUGGGAAACAGGUUAAUAUUCCUGUACUUGGUGUUACUGCGAAGGGGGGACGGAGAAGGCUAUGUUGGCCGGGCGACGGUUGUCCCGGUUUAAGCGUGUAGGCUGAUUUUCCAGGCAAAUCCGGAAAAUCAAGGCUGAGGCGUGAUGACGAGGCACUACGGUGCUGAAGCAACAAAUGCCCUGCUUCCAGGAAAAGCCUCUAAGCAUCAGGUAACAUCAAAUCGUACCCCAAACCGACACAGGUGGUCAGGUAGAGAAUACCAAGGCGCUUGAGAGAACUCGGGUGAAGGAACUAGGCAAAAUGGUGCCGUAACUUCGGGAGAAGGCACGCUGAUAUGUAGGUGAAGUCCCUCGCGGAUGGAGCUGAAAUCAGUCGAAGAUACCAGCUGGCUGCAACUGUUUAUUAAAAACACAGCACUGUGCAAACACGAAAGUGGACGUAUACGGUGUGACGCCUGCCCGGUGCCGGAAGGUUAAUUGAUGGGGUCAGCGCAAGCGAAGCUCUUGAUCGAAGCCCCGGUAAACGGCGGCCGUAACUAUAACGGUCCUAAGGUAGCGAAAUUCCUUGUCGGGUAAGUUCCGACCUGCACGAAUGGCGUAAUGAUGGCCAGGCUGUCUCCACCCGAGACUCAGUGAAAUUGAACUCGCUGUGAAGAUGCAGUGUACCCGCGGCAAGACGGAAAGACCCCGUGAACCUUUACUAUAGCUUGACACUGAACAUUGAGCCUUGAUGUGUAGGAUAGGUGGGAGGCUUUGAAGUGUGGACGCCAGUCUGCAUGGAGCCGGCCUUGAAAUACCACCCUUUAAUGUUUGAUGUUCUAACGUAGACCCCUAAUCGGGGUUGCGGACAGUGUCUGGUGGGUAGUUUGACUGGGGCGGUCUCCUCCUAAAGAGUAACGGAGGAGCACGAAGGUUGGCUAAUCCUGGUCGGACAUCAGGAGGUUAGUGCAAUGGCAUAAGCCAGCUUGACUGCGAGCGUGACGGCGCGAGCAGGUGCGAAAGCAGGUCAUAGUGAUCCGGUGGUUCUGAAUGGAAGGGCCAUCGCUCAACGGAUAAAAGGUACUCCGGGGAUAACAGGCUGAUACCGCCCAAGAGUUCAUAUCGACGGCGGUGUUUGGCACCUCGAUGUCGGCUCAUCACAUCCUGGGGCUGAAGUAGGUCCCAAGGGUAUGGCUGUUCGCCAUUUAAAGUGGUACGCGAGCUGGGUUUAGAACGUCGUGAGACAGUUCGGUCCCUAUCUGCCGUGGGCGCUGGAGAACUGAGGGGGGCUGCUCCUAGUACGAGAGGACCGGAGUGGACGCAUCACUGGUGUUCGGGUUGUCAUGCCAAUGGCACUGCCCGGUAGCUAAAUGCGGAAGAGAUAAGUGCUGAAAGCAUCUAAGCACGAAACUUGCCCCGAGAUGAGUUCUCCCUGACCCUUUAAGGGUCCUGAAGGAACGUUGAAGACGACGACGUUGAUAGGCCGGGUGUGUAAGCGCAGCGAUGCGUUGAGCUAACCGGUACUAAUGAACCGUGAGGCUUAACCUUACAACGCCGAAGGUGUUU
Molecule: ribosomal RNA, 2931 nt
Filed under: Escherichia coli
Lineage: Bacteria; Pseudomonadati; Pseudomonadota; Gammaproteobacteria; Enterobacterales; Enterobacteriaceae
Description: 23S ribosomal RNA
Rfam family: Bacterial large subunit ribosomal RNA
Source: RNAcentral